Molecule: long non-coding RNA, 522 nt
Filed under: Trifolium pratense (red clover)
Lineage: Eukaryota; Viridiplantae; Streptophyta; Magnoliopsida; Fabales; Fabaceae
Description: long non-coding RNA (TPRA_LNC011207)
Source: RNAcentral
UAAAGCAAGCAGUAAUAAGUUAGUUACUUAUAUAUCACAUUAGAGAACAAACCUUCCGAAGGUUACCGGAUAAAAUCCUCUUCCCUUAGUUUAUGCUAAUCGAUUGAGUAGUCACUUAUAAUAUAAUCCGUAGCAUUUAAGCCCUAUGGAUGGAGGCUUCUUGCUACUGCCUUACCAUAAGAGCAAUAAGCCUGUCACAGGCAAACAACCUCUUGAGUCUCUAACUUCCGAAUCCGAAUGCCCAAAUAGGGGCUUUCUUUUCUCUUGCAUGCGCCUUCCUUCCUCAUUCAUUCAAAUCAAAGGAAGCUUCAUCGGGAAGGCACCGGGAUGGCGGCUUGGCUUCGCUAUCGCUCAUGACUUGGUAUAGAGUCCGUGUAGUAGCAGUCCUCUCUUGAGAUAUAUAUAAGGUUACAUAUAUAUCCUAGCUGAGGCUGUGAUCGCAGCAGCUAGUUGUACAGCAGAGUUCUGGUUCAAAAAAUCUGAGCCCAUCUUAUCUUGGUAUUGCGGCUGCGAAGUAUUCUC